Molecule: long non-coding RNA, 378 nt
Organism: Sarcophilus harrisii (Tasmanian devil)
Lineage: Eukaryota; Metazoa; Chordata; Mammalia; Dasyuromorphia; Dasyuridae
Exons: 3
Source: RefSeq, a predicted model, not a curated record
GAGGGCAAGUCCCGCCAAUCACAGACAACCAUACAUGGUGGUGGAAGGAUAAGUGGAGUUCCUCCAAUCACAGGGACCCUUAUAGGACCGGGGAGGUAUAAGUAGGGGGCCGGCGGCACCGCGUGACUCUGAGGGCACUUCCGGGAGCUUAGGGCGGUAGAACUUUGCUGAGGUGAUUGGAGGCCCGGCUUCCCGCCUCUAGGCCGCCACCAUGGAGGCCCUAAUCCCCGUUAUUGCCAAGCUCCAAGAGGUCUUCGGUGUGGUGGGCAAGGACAUCAUCCAGCUGCCACAGAUUGUGAUCUUUGGCUCUCAGAGCAGUGGCAAGAGCUCGGUGCUGGAAAGCAUCGUGGGACGGAACUUCCUUCCGGCUCAGAAUCA